This 460-nucleotide ribosomal RNA is filed under the name uncultured bacterium. RNAcentral's name for it is "partial 16S ribosomal RNA". It matches the Rfam family "Bacterial small subunit ribosomal RNA", at positions 338 to 795 of the family's 1533-position model. The record is from RNAcentral.
CCUACGGGUGGCAGCAGUGAGGAAUAUUGGUCAAUGGACGAGAGUCUGAUCCAGCCAAGUAGCGUGAAGGAUGAAUGCCCUAUGGGUUGUAAACUUCUUUAGUAAAGGAAUAAAACGAGGCACGUGUCCCUUUUUCCAUGUACUUUAUCAUUCAGGAACGGCUAACUCCGUGCCAGCAGCCGCGGUAAUACGGAGGAUCCGAGCGUUAUCCGGAUUUAUUGGGUUUAAAGGGAGCGUAGAUGGGUUGUUAAGGCAGGUGUGAAAGUUUGCGGCGCAACCGUAGAAUUGCAAUUGAUACUGGCAGUCUUGAGUACAGUAGAGGUAGGCGGAAUUCGUGGUGUAGCGGUGAAAUGCGUAGAUAUCAGGAAGAACACCGAUUGCGAAGGCAGCUUACUAGACUGUGACUGACAUUGAGGCGCGAAAGUGUGGGGAGCAAACAGGAUUAGAUACCCUAGUAGUC